UACGUAGGUGGCAAGCGUUAUCCGGAUUUAUUGGAUGUAAAGGGCGUGUAGGCGGGAAUGCAAGUCAGAUGUGAAAACUCAGGGCUCAACCCUGAGCCUGCAUUUGAAACUGUAUUUCUUGAGUGCUGGAGAGGCAAUCGGAAUUCCGUGUGUAGCGGUGAAAUGCGUAGAUAUACGGAGGAACACCAGUGGCGAAGGCGGAUUGCUGGACAGUAACUGACGCUGAGGCGCGAAAGCGUGGGGAGCAAACAGG
Molecule: ribosomal RNA, 253 nt
Filed under: uncultured bacterium
Lineage: Bacteria
Description: partial 16S ribosomal RNA
Rfam family: Bacterial small subunit ribosomal RNA
Source: RNAcentral